Molecule: transfer RNA, 84 nt
Filed under: Aequorivita vladivostokensis
Lineage: Bacteria; Pseudomonadati; Bacteroidota; Flavobacteriia; Flavobacteriales; Flavobacteriaceae
Also listed under: 11 other names
Description: tRNA-Leu
Rfam family: tRNA
About the family: Transfer RNA (tRNA) molecules are approximately 80 nucleotides in length. Their secondary structure includes four short double-helical elements and three loops (D, anti-codon, and T loops).
Source: RNAcentral
GCUCGAGUGGUGGAAUUGGUAGACACGCCGGACUUAAAAUCCUGUGACCAUUUGGUCGUGCGGGUUCAAGUCCCGCCUCGAGUA